This 420-nucleotide ribosomal RNA is filed under the name uncultured bacterium. Its description in RNAcentral is "bacterial SSU rRNA". It matches the Rfam family "Bacterial small subunit ribosomal RNA", at positions 356 to 773 of the family's 1533-position model. The record is from RNAcentral.
AAGGAAUAUUGGACAAUGGUCGGAAGACUGAUCCAGCCAUCCCGCGUGAAGGAUGACUGCCCUAUGGGUUGUAAACUUCUUUUAUAUGGGAAGAAACCCCUGGAUUUAUCUGGGGCUGACGGUACCAUAUGAAUAAGCACCGGCUAACUCCGUGCCAGCAGCCGCGGUAAUACGGAGGGUGCAAGCGUUAUCCGGAAUCACUGGGUUUAAAGGGUGCGUAGGUGGCUUGGUAAGUCAGAGGUGAAAGCCCGUCGCUCAACGACGGAAUCGCCUUUGAUACUGCCGAGCUUGAAUUAGGUUGAGGUAGGCGGAAUGUGGCAUGUAGCGGUGAAAUGCAUAGAUAUGCCAUAGAACACCAAUUGCGAAGGCAGCUUACUGGACCUGGAUUGACGCUGAGGCACGAAAGCGUGGGGAUCAAAC